CAGUCGCCGCGGUAAAACGUAGGGUGCAAGCGUUAAUCGGAAUUACUGGGCGUAAAGCGUGCGCAGGCGGUUAUAUAAGACAGAUGUGAAAUCCCCGGGCUCAACCUGGGAACUGCAUUUGUGACUGUAUAGCUAGAGUACGGCAGAGGGGGAUGGAAUUCCGAGUGUAGCAGUGAAAUGCGUAGAUAUGCGGAGGAACACCGAUGGCGAAGGCAAUCCCCUGGGCCUGUACUGACGCUCAUGCACGAAAGCGUGGGGAGCAAACGGGAUUAGAUACCCGCGUAGUCCCUGUCUCUUAUAC
This 301-nucleotide ribosomal RNA is filed under the name uncultured bacterium. RNAcentral describes it as "partial 16S ribosomal RNA". It matches the Rfam family "Bacterial small subunit ribosomal RNA", at positions 509 to 807 of the family's 1533-position model. The record is from RNAcentral.